GAUGAACGCUGGCGGCGUGCCUAAUACAUGCAAGUCGAGCGAACAGACGAGGAGCUUGCUCCUCUGACGUUAGCGGCGGACGGGUGAGUAACACGUGGAUAACCUACCUAUAAGACUGGGAUAACUUCGGGAAACCGGAGCUAAUACCGGAUAAUAUAUUGAACCGCAUGGUUCAAUAGUGAAAGACGGUUUUGCUGUCACUUAUAGAUGGAUCCGCGCCGCAUUAGCUAGUUGGUAAGGUAACGGCUUACCAAGGCAACGAUGCGUAGCCGACCUGAGAGGGUGAUCGGCCACACUGGAACUGAGACACGGUCCAGACCCCUACGGGAGGCAGCAGUAGGGAAUCUUCCGCAAUGGGCGAAAGCCUGACGGAGCAACGCCGCGUGAGUGAUGAAGGUCUUCGGAUCGUAAAACUCUGUUAUUAGGGAAGAACAAAUGUGUAAGUAACUAUGCACGUCCUGACGGUACCUAAUCAGAAAGCCACGGCUAACUACGUG
Molecule: ribosomal RNA, 497 nt
Filed under: uncultured bacterium
Lineage: Bacteria
Description: partial 16S ribosomal RNA
Rfam family: Bacterial small subunit ribosomal RNA
Source: RNAcentral